Molecule: long non-coding RNA, 121 nt
Filed under: Meleagris gallopavo (turkey)
Lineage: Eukaryota; Metazoa; Chordata; Aves; Galliformes; Phasianidae
Description: lncRNA (ENSMGAG00000019669.1)
Source: RNAcentral
GUGUCCCUGGAGAAUCACGGAGCGAUACAGACAAUUCCAGCAUCUCACUUCUACCUCAGGAAGCAAAAAAGAGCUACAUUUAAGAUGGAAAAGAUAUUAAAACCUAGAAAGCUCUUCCACU